RNAcentral lists this long non-coding RNA (653 nucleotides) under Podarcis muralis (Common wall lizard). Its description in RNAcentral is "lncRNA (ENSPMRG00000003804.1)". The record is from RNAcentral. Lineage: Eukaryota; Metazoa; Chordata; Lepidosauria; Squamata; Lacertidae.
AUAACGCCGCCUCCGCCGGCCCCGGGGGCUCCGCGCGCGCGCCCAAACCGCGUCCCGGAGACGCUCAGCCACAUGCGGAGCCGCGGCAUGAGCAAAGCCCCGCGGGGGCCCAGCCGCCGCCGCUGCCGCCUUCCCUGUGGGGCUUCUCCCGGGCCUGGUCGCUGCAGCUGCUGCUUCUUCUUGCCGCCGCCGGCGUGGCUGCCCGGAGCGCACGAGUCCCGCUGGCGCGCCGUGCGAGCGGUUGUGCGGAGGCGCUGGGCUCCUGGGCUGCUUCCCCCCUGCGCUUCGCCUUCUCCUCCCUCCGCCCCCGGAGGGGUGAGCUGAACUCUCCGCUCGCCGCCUUGCAGCUCGCCUCGCGGAAACCGCCCCCGGAAGGGUCAUCGUCGCCGUCCCGGCCAUUAGGCAGCACCCCUCGCCCACAGACGCGCCCCCCGACGCCCGCCCGCGCCCCUCGCGCAGAAUCUAGAUUUUAUUUCCAUUCGAUCAAGAAGGAAACUGCUAUUCAGCCUGAUGGCAAAUACCUUCAGAAGUGUGGCAGAAGACAAGCAGUGGCAGAGUCAAGUGGGCCUCCCAUGGGAAGGCAUUCCACAGCUGUGGCUGCAAUCCCAAAGGGUCUGUCUUGUAUCCCCACCACAGACGACAGGAGGACAUGA